UCCCAGACUCCUACGGGAGGCAGCAGUGAGGAAUAUUGGUCAAUGGGCGAGAGCCUGAACCAGCCAAGUCGCGUGAGGGAAGACGGUCCUAUGGAUUGUAAAACUCUUUUGCCGGGGAGCAAAAAGCGGUACGUGUACCGCAUCGAGAGUACCCGGAGAAAAAGCAUCGGCUAACUCCGUGUCAGCAGCCGCGGUAAUACGGAGGAUGCGAGCGUUAUCCGGAUUUAUUGGGUUUAAAGGGUGCGCAGGCGGAGGUGCAAGUCAGCGGUCAAAUUGCGGGGCUCAACCCCGUACUGCCGUUGAAACUGCAUCCCUUGAGUGCGCGAGAAGUAUGCGGAAUGCGUGGUGUAGCGGUGAAAUGCGUAGAUAUUAGGAGGAACACCGGUGGCGAAGGCGGCUUGCUGGACGGUAACUGACGUUGAGGCUCGAAAGCGUGGGGAGCAAACAGGAUUAGAUACCCCGGUAG
Molecule: ribosomal RNA, 466 nt
Filed under: uncultured bacterium
Lineage: Bacteria
Description: bacterial SSU rRNA
Rfam family: Bacterial small subunit ribosomal RNA
Source: RNAcentral